RNAcentral lists this RNase P RNA (333 nucleotides) under Candidatus Lloydbacteria bacterium CG22_combo_CG10-13_8_21_14_all_47_15. RNAcentral describes it as "RNase P RNA component class A". It matches the Rfam family "Bacterial RNase P class A". Rfam says of the family: Ribonuclease P (RNase P) is a ubiquitous endoribonuclease, found in archaea, bacteria and eukarya as well as chloroplasts and mitochondria. Its best characterised activity is the generation of mature 5'-ends of tRNAs by cleaving the 5'-leader elements of precursor-tRNAs. Cellular RNase Ps are ribonucleoproteins. Lineage: Bacteria; Candidatus Lloydiibacteriota. The record is from RNAcentral.
UGUUCCUGCCGGAUAGCUGCUCCUCUGCCGCAUAGGUGGCACAGGGGAGGAAAGUCCGAACAUGUACGCAAUUAUUUUGCGUAGGACGGUAGCGGGUAACGCCCGUCUGGGGUGACCCAAGGGAUGCGAACAGUGACGCCGAAGCUGAGAGGCCUAGGGCUCCUUCGGGAGUAAUUCUGCCGGAAGGCAGAGGUGAAACGGCUAAAUUCCUACCUACAUGCAAGGCCGUGUCUCGCGUACAGUGGGAAGUGCCGCUUGAGGCGGCUGGCAACAGCCGUCCCAGAUAAAUAGCUAUCAUUGAACCAGAAUUCGGCUUAUGAGCAGGAACACUAG